RNAcentral lists this ribosomal RNA (449 nucleotides) under uncultured bacterium. RNAcentral describes it as "partial 16S ribosomal RNA". It matches the Rfam family "Bacterial small subunit ribosomal RNA", at positions 29 to 523 of the family's 1533-position model. The record is from RNAcentral.
AAUGAACGCUGGCGGCAUGCCUAACACAUGCAAGUCGAACGAAGGCUUCGGCCUGAGUGGCGCACGGGUGCGUAACGCGUGGGAAUCUGCCCUCAGGUUCGGACUAACAGCGAGAAAUUGCUGCUAAUACAGGAUGAUAUCGCGAGAUCACAGAUUUAUCGCCUGAGGGUGAGCCCGCGUAGGAUUAGCUAGUUGGUGUGGUAAAGGCGCACCAAGGCGACGAUCCUUAGCUGGUCUGAGAGGAUGAUCAGCCACACUGGGACUGAGACACGGCCCAGACUCCUACGGGAGGCAGCAGUGGGGAAUAUUGGACAAUGGGCGAAAGCCUGAUCCAGCAAUGCCGCGUGAGUGAUGAAGGCCUUAGGGUUGUAAAGCUCUUUUACCCGGGAUGAUAAUGACAGUACCGGGAGAAUAAGCUCCGGCUAACUCCGUGCCAGCCGCCGCGGUAA